AACGAACGCUGGCGGCAGGCUUAACACAUGCAAGUCGAGCGCCCCGCAAGGGGAGCGGCAGACGGGUGAGUAACGCGUGGGAACGUACCUUUUGGUUCGGAACAACUCCGGGAAACUGGAGCUAAUACCGGAUAAGCCCUAACGGGGAAAGAUUUAUCGCCGAAAGAUCGGCCCGCGUCUGAUUAGCUAGUUGGUGAGGUAACGGCUCACCAAGGCGACGAUCAGUAGCUGGUCUGAGAGGAUGAUCAGCCACACUGGGACUGAGACACGGCCCAGACUCCUACGGGAGGCAGCAGUGGGGAAUAUUGGACAAUGGGCGCAAGCCUGAUCCAGCCAUGCCGCGUGAGUGAUGAAGGCCUUAGGGUUGUAAAGCUCUUUUGUCCGGGAAGAUAAUGACUGUACCGGAAGAAUAAAUCCAGGCUAACUUCGU
RNAcentral lists this ribosomal RNA (430 nucleotides) under uncultured bacterium. RNAcentral describes it as "partial 16S ribosomal RNA". It matches the Rfam family "Bacterial small subunit ribosomal RNA", at positions 29 to 506 of the family's 1533-position model. The record is from RNAcentral.